GGUGCACUCGUCCGGUUUCCAUGCCAGCAUCAGUUGGGACGGCAUGAUAAAGGCGGUGGGAAUGUGGCUCUCUUCGGGGAGUGUUAUAGCCCGUUGUGUAAUACCCUGGGGGGGACUGAGGUUCGCGCAUCUGCAAGGAUGCUGGCGUAAUGGUCAUCAACGA
This 163-nucleotide ribosomal RNA is filed under the name Hypocreales sp. Its description in RNAcentral is "partial large subunit ribosomal RNA". The record is from RNAcentral. Lineage: Eukaryota; Fungi; Ascomycota; Sordariomycetes; Hypocreales.